Molecule: transfer RNA, 74 nt
Filed under: Robiginitomaculum sp.
Lineage: Bacteria; Pseudomonadati; Pseudomonadota; Alphaproteobacteria; Maricaulales; Robiginitomaculaceae
Description: tRNA-Cys
Rfam family: tRNA
About the family: Transfer RNA (tRNA) molecules are approximately 80 nucleotides in length. Their secondary structure includes four short double-helical elements and three loops (D, anti-codon, and T loops).
Source: RNAcentral
GGUACCAUGGCGGAGUGGUUACGCAGCGGAUUGCAAAUCCGUCCACCCCGGUUCGAUUCCGGGUGGUACCUCCA